CACGCCCCUGGGGGCCAUCUGGCCCAAGUCCACCUGCGCGGCUGAGUGGAGGAUGCUAGGUUGCUGUGCUGUUUCUCCUACUGUCUUGCUGCCGCACCACCCCUCAGAAAAACCGGGUCGUCAGUUUCCUGCGGUUUGCACUCACCAAAUAUACUUAGCAAUUUGCAAUUCACCCGCAGGAUUAUUCCAGCCUCUGUGAUCACACACAGAAGGAUGAGCCUUCCUCGUGAGGGUUGGAGAUGGAGGGAGAAGGGAUGGAGAGUAAGGAUGGGACGGAGGUUGUGGAGCAGCAGACCAACACGCCAGAAAGGAAAAUAAUGAUCAUCUCAAUUUUUAUAUGUGGAGGCAUUGCUUUUCUUCUUUGGGGGAUUUUAAGAUUUCCCAGAAAAUUUGGAAUUCCAAGGCACCUUAGAAACAAGACAUGCCUAGAAAAUUUGACUAUGUGUCCACAAGGCUGGAACUGAAUCAAUAAUAAUUGCUUCUUUCAAUCUGAACAUGAAACAACGUGGAUCAAUGGCUGAGAAAACUGCAGAAGUUAUGGAUCUCUGGCCAGGCUCAACUCUCAGAAUGAAAUGGGAAUCUUUGAUGCAUUAUCUGGGGCCGUCUUUAUAUUGGUUUGAACUGAGCAAGCACAAUGCAAACAAAACGUGGAUGUGGGCAGAUGGAGCUACAUUCAGCAAUUGUCAAGUUAUGAAACUAGCGAAUUAUUUACAUUAAGUGGAUUUGUUGUUGCUGUCGUUGCUGAAACUAGUGAAAGAAUCGAGUUUUGUGCUAUGAGUCAUGGGAGCAAAACGUGAGUAUUUAGAAGUGGAGAGGACCACGAAGAAGGAAGCCCUGGUGACUUGAAGAAAUCAUGGAGAGUUCUCCGGAUUCCCACAAACCUAUGGGGUUUAGAUUCCAGCUAAUACUUACACGGGUCUCAGAAGGACAGAGGGCAAGGGUUAACAUC
Molecule: long non-coding RNA, 949 nt
Filed under: Homo sapiens (human)
Lineage: Eukaryota; Metazoa; Chordata; Mammalia; Primates; Hominidae
Description: non-protein coding LINC02470:15
Source: RNAcentral